RNAcentral lists this ribosomal RNA (484 nucleotides) under uncultured bacterium. Its description in RNAcentral is "partial 16S ribosomal RNA". It matches the Rfam family "Bacterial small subunit ribosomal RNA", at positions 30 to 507 of the family's 1533-position model. The record is from RNAcentral.
AUUGAACGCUGGCGGCAGGCCUAACACAUGCAAGUCGAGCGGAUGAAGGGAGCUUGCUCCUGGAUUCAGCGGCGGACGGGUGAGUAAUGCCUAGGAAUCUGCCUGGUAGUGGGGGAUAACGUCCGGAAACGGGCGCUAAUACCGCAUACGUCCUGAGGGAGAAAGUGGGGGAUCUUCGGACCUCACGCUAUCAGAUGAGCCUAGGUCGGAUUAGCUAGUUGGUGGGGUAAAGGCCUACCAAGGCGACGAUCCGUAACUGGUCUGAGGGGAUGAUCAGUCACACUGGAACUGAGACACGGUCCAGACUCCUACGGGAGGCAGCAGUGGGGAAUAUUGGACAAUGGGCGAAAGCCUGAUCCAGCCAUGCCGCGUGUGUGAAGAAGGUCUUCGGAUUGUAAAGCACUUUAAGCUGGGAGGAAGGGCAGUAAGUUAAUACCUUGCUGUUUUGACGUUACCAACAGAAUAAGCACCGGCUAACUUCGUG